CUACAAAUGAAUUGACGGGGACCCGCACAAGCAGCGGAGCGUGUGGUUUAAUUCGUUGCUACACGAAGAACCUUACCUGGGUUUGACAUAUAGGUUGUAGGGAACUGAAAAGGGACCGACCCUUCGGGGAGCCUAUACAGGUGUUGCAUGGCUGUCGUCAGCUCGUGUCGUGAGAUGUUCGGUUAAGUCCGCUAACGAGCGCAACCCUCGUCGUAUGUUAUAUGUGUCAUACGAGACUGCCGGUAAAAGCCGGAGGAAGGUGAGGAUGAUGUCAAGUCAGCAUGACCUUUAUAUCCAGGGCUACACACACGCUACAAUGGUCUGUACAAUGGGUAGCCAAGCCGCGAGGCGGAGCCAAUCCUGAAAGCAGGCCUCAGUUCAGAUUGCAGUCUGCAACUCGACUGCAUGAAGCCGGAGUUGCUAGUAACCGCAGGUCAGCAAUACUGCGGUGAAUACGUUCCCGGGCCUU
Molecule: ribosomal RNA, 469 nt
Filed under: uncultured Anaerolineaceae bacterium
Lineage: Bacteria; Bacillati; Chloroflexota; Anaerolineae; Anaerolineales; Anaerolineaceae
Description: bacterial SSU rRNA
Rfam family: Bacterial small subunit ribosomal RNA
Source: RNAcentral